UAUGUAAUGACCCAUUUUAAUGGUCAUUAAAGUGGUGGUCUUUUUGUUCUUUUUUUUUUAGGUAAGUCUUGUUGAGCUGGAAGAUGGCUUUCUGGUGUUGCAAGAGCGUUCUGAGCUGUGGAUCACAAGCAGAGAGAGAUGUUUAACUUCAGUUUCACUCCUGACGAAAGUUUUCCUGGAUUUCAGGUUUCUGCCACCAUGGAGCCGGGCAGAGCAUGUCAGGAGAGACGACUGCCUGGCUCACAGCACUCUGGUUAAGGGAAGGCUGGUUCAGUGUAGACCAAAGCAACUGACUGCAGACAACAGUCACUUGACUCUUUUCAGGAGGCUGAAAGUCACCCACAGACAGUCACGCUCCCUGGAGACGACGCAUGGCAGCACAUGGCUGCAGGGAAAAGGCAGGAGCCCCGUGCACGUCGCUGCCCACCUCUGCAAGUCCCCGGAAAGGCUGAUGAGAGGAUGUUCCCGUGCGCCAGUCACGGCUACCAAAGGCAGGUAGAGCUUCUCACUGUAAUCCCAACAACAAAACCAGCUUCACUAAUAAUGAAAUCAGACACUU
Molecule: long non-coding RNA, 559 nt
Organism: Strigops habroptila (Kakapo)
Lineage: Eukaryota; Metazoa; Chordata; Aves; Psittaciformes; Psittacidae
Exons: 3
Source: RefSeq, a predicted model, not a curated record